AUGGCAGAUGGCAAGAAACCUCACAAGGGAGGAAAGAAACUGGAAGUCAACACUGCGUUUGAAAUCUCUGAGGAUAUAUACAAGGAUUAUUGCACUCAUGAUGAGGCCACCCAUGGAAAGGAAACUAAGAAUGAGCGCAAAGUGCGCAUCCAAAGGAUAAAGAGGAGAUGGGCACGGGAAUGGAGGGAAUACAAAUAUGUUACUCCAAAGUAUAUGAAGAAAUUCGCUCUUAAUCCUCCAUGCCCAAGACCUCCAUUGGCACCUGGCCAAGUAGCUGAUCCCACUAGCCUCAAGCGUGGUGAGGAUUAUCCUGAUGAAUGGGCUAAGCGCCAGGCCAAGCUAGCCAGAGUAGCUAAGGAAGCAGUAAGGAAAUUUAGUGAAGACUCUGUUGUUGCUGCUGCCACUACUGAGGCCUCUGCAAGCAAGCCAAAGAAGGCCAUGCCAAACAAGCCGGCUCAUAAGCCAAGUGAUUCAACCCCAAUGCCCUCACGGCGAAGUUCCCCAGCAAUGCCCUCACGACCAGAUUCUUCAAAGCCCUCACGGCCAAUUCCUCAAGCUGCACCAGCUCCUCCAAAGUCCUCAGCCCCUCUGUCAAAAUCCUCAGCACCUGUGCAUCUCGCCACGUGCCAAAGGACAACAUGCAUCUCUAUUGCCUCAUGA
Molecule: ribosomal RNA, 660 nt
Filed under: Triticum aestivum (bread wheat)
Lineage: Eukaryota; Viridiplantae; Streptophyta; Magnoliopsida; Poales; Poaceae
Description: partial small subunit ribosomal RNA
Source: RNAcentral